GGGGAAUUAGCUCAGUUGGGAGACCACAUGACUGGUAGUCAUGUGGUCAGGAGUUCGAAUCCCCUAUUCUCCA
This 73-nucleotide transfer RNA is filed under the name Atopobium sp. oral taxon 416. RNAcentral's name for it is "tRNA-Thr". It matches the Rfam family "tRNA". Rfam says of the family: Transfer RNA (tRNA) molecules are approximately 80 nucleotides in length. Their secondary structure includes four short double-helical elements and three loops (D, anti-codon, and T loops). Lineage: Bacteria; Bacillati; Actinomycetota; Coriobacteriia; Coriobacteriales; Atopobiaceae. The record is from RNAcentral.